AGAGUUUGAUCCUGGCUCAGAUUGAACGCUGGCGGCAUGCCUUACACAUGCAAGUCGAACGGCAGCACGGGGGCAACCCUGGUGGCGAGUGGCGAACGGGUGAGUAACAUAUCGGAACGUGCCCUGGAGUGGGGGAUAACUAGUCGAAAGACUGGCUAAUACCGCAUACGAUCUACGGAUGAAAGUGGGGGAUUCGCAAGGACCUCAUGCUCGUGGAGCGGCCGAUAUCUGAUUAGCUAGUUGGUGGGGUAAAGGCCUACCAAGGCGACGAUCAGUAGCUGGUCUGAGAGGACGACCAGCCACACUGGGACUGAGACACGGCCCAGACUCCUACGGGAGGCAGCAGUGGGGAAUUUUGGACAAUGGGGGCAACCCUGAUCCAGCAAUGCCGCGUGAGUGAAGAAGGCCUUCGGGUUGUAAAGCUCUUUUGUCAGGGAAGAAACGGUCUGGGCUAAUAUCCCGGGCUAAUGACGGUACCUGAAGAAUAAGCACCGGCUAACUACGUGCCAGCAGCCGCGGUAAUAC
RNAcentral lists this ribosomal RNA (525 nucleotides) under uncultured Herbaspirillum sp. RNAcentral's name for it is "bacterial SSU rRNA". It matches the Rfam family "Bacterial small subunit ribosomal RNA", at positions 8 to 526 of the family's 1533-position model. Lineage: Bacteria; Pseudomonadati; Pseudomonadota; Betaproteobacteria; Burkholderiales; Oxalobacteraceae. The record is from RNAcentral.